Molecule: long non-coding RNA, 966 nt
Organism: Pseudoliparis swirei
Lineage: Eukaryota; Metazoa; Chordata; Actinopteri; Perciformes; Liparidae
Exons: 2
Source: RefSeq, a predicted model, not a curated record
GCAGCAAAGGGAAGAAGAAUAAGUAAAGUUAUCAGUGUCACCGUCAUUCUAAAAUACUUGCAGCGUCUGCUAAAUGGCACGUAAUGUAAUGUAAUGGUUGCUUUAAAAUGUCCCGCGACGUGGUGCUCUCGCGGGAGCUCUCGCGAGAGCUCGCGGAUCGGAUUCUUCCAGAACAUGUAUUUCUUAGAUAAGUUAGAUAAGUAUUUUAAAAAUAUGUUUAAGUUAUUACGGUUUUAUAAGGAGGUAUUCAUUUGGUCUAAUUUUAAAGGUGAUGAAUAAUAAUAAAUCAAAACAACUUUAUAUACAAAUUUUAAUAAGUUAUGAAAAAUGUUAAAACGUAAUACCGGCGCCUCUAUAAGGCCUAAAUACAUAUAAUAAAACGAGCCAAUCAGCGUGAAGUCUGAGAUACGGCUCCAGCCCGCCGUGAAGACCCGGGUCCGGCUUCACCCGCAGCCUUCACCCGCAGCCUUCACCCGCCAGGCGGCAGCGUCUCCUCCUCCGGCCAGGAGCAAAGCUGCUUUAAAAACUACAUUGAUAAAUCAGAGCUGGCGGACAAAAUAAUAAUAACCCUAAAUAAUGCAAUACAGUUUAACAGCAGUGCAAAAGAGAUAACGUGUAGUUUAAAUGCAUGACUUCUGCAAUCUUUAUUCUAGUUCUGCAUAUCGAGCAUUUUGCACGGGAACGUUAUUUUUAUUAUUAGAUGAUCAAAACAAAUGAUCGAUGAACAGUAAAUGAUGCUCAUCGAUAAAGUAGAAUUAUUAGGAUUUUUUUCUACACCAUUUUACGUGCGAAACGGCAACGAAGCGAAAAACUCGUCAGCUUCAAUACUUUUUAAGAUAUCUAUAUUUAUAUAACGCACAUUUAAUUAAAAUAAAACAAUAUGAACUAAGGCACAUAAGCUAUACUUACAACGUCCAGUCACACUGCUGAACUUUGCUUUUAUUAUAAUAAAGAUGAAAGUUUUUA